AAGGAAGCUGUGGGUGGGGACACAUCUGGUGGGAGGGAUUUGGAUCCUGCCAGUUUGUCCCUGCAACCCCCCACUCCUGUCCCCUCAAACCUGUUCACGGCUUGCAGCCCUGUGAUACCCUGCCACAUUCUGUGACAGAAUCCGAGAUCUAGGCAGAAGUGGGGAAGUACACUGUGGCCGUCGGGGCAGCUUUCUGUAAAAUGCUGCCUUGAGAAGCACGUGAUUCCAGACCUUCCUCUCUGCAAUACAAGUGAGGUUGACACCUACAGAUAUGAUUGUAACAGGAUUUUAGCUCAGUUGUAGACCUGGGGCAUGGCUGGCUGUUGCGGUCAUCUCAGCCUCCUGGCCCACUGAGCAGAACACACAGAAGCUGGGCCCACUCCAGCCCUCCCCACAAAGGGUCACCGGAGCCACUGCCUGACUUUGAAGCCCACUAACUUGUGGCGGACAAGAAAAAAGGAUGUGCCCCUGUGAUCACCUGCAACCUUCAUGUGAAAGCAUCAGCCAGGGGUUCAAGAACUUCCCUCCGGAGCCUCCCUCUCCCAGCGUGGCACCUGGCAGGGAAAAGAUUCUCUCCAAACCUUUGUGAAGGAAUUAAGGAUGACGUCACUAGAAUCCAUCCCUGUUUUAUUUUUUAUUUUUAUUUUUUGAGACAGAGUCUCGCUCUGUUGCCCAGGCUGGAGUGCAGUGGCACGAUCACAGCUCACUGCAAGCUCUGCCUCCCGGUUCAAGU
Piliocolobus tephrosceles (Ugandan red Colobus) is the source of this 733-nucleotide long non-coding RNA. RefSeq lists it as uncharacterized. NCBI's taxonomy places the organism in Eukaryota, Metazoa, Chordata, Mammalia, Primates, Cercopithecidae. The transcript has 3 exons. The record is from RefSeq and is a predicted model, not a curated record.